Molecule: ribosomal RNA, 425 nt
Filed under: uncultured rumen bacterium
Lineage: Bacteria
Description: bacterial SSU rRNA
Rfam family: Bacterial small subunit ribosomal RNA
Source: RNAcentral
GUGAGGAAUAUUGGACAAUGGCCGAAAGGCUGAUCCAGCCAUGCCGCGUGCGGGAAGACGGCCCUAUGGGUUGUAAACCGCUUUUGUUGGGGAGCAAUAAGGGCCACGUGUGACCCGAUGAGAGUACCCAGCGAAUAAGCAUCGGCUAACUCCGUGCCAGCAGCCGCGGUAAUACGGAGGAUGCAAGCGUUAUCCGGAUUUAUUGGGUUUAAAGGGUGCGUAGGCGGACGAUUAAGCGUGAGGUGAAAUGCUCGGGCUCAACCUGAGAACUGCCUCGCGAACUGGUCGUCUGGAAUGCUCCUGCCGUGGGAGGAAUGUGUGGUGUAGCGGUGAAAUGCAUAGAGAUCACACAGAACACCGAUUGCGAAGGCAUCUCACGAAGGGGUUAUUGACGCUGAGGCACGAAAGCGUGGGGAUCAAACAGG